This 491-nucleotide ribosomal RNA is filed under the name uncultured bacterium. RNAcentral's name for it is "bacterial SSU rRNA". It matches the Rfam family "Bacterial small subunit ribosomal RNA", at positions 899 to 1397 of the family's 1533-position model. The record is from RNAcentral.
ACUCAAAGGAAUAGACGGGGGCCCGCACAAGCAGUGGAUUAUGUGGUUUAAUUCGAAGCAACGCGAAGAACCUUACCAGGUCUUGACAUCGGAUGCAUAGCCUAGAGAUAGGUGAAGCCCUUCGGGGCAUCCAGACAGGUGGUGCAUGGUUGUCGUCAGCUCGUGUCGUGAGAUGUUGGGUUAAGUCCCGCAACGAGCGCAACCCUUACGAAUAGUUGCUACGCAAGAGCACUCUAUUGGGACUGCCGUUGACAAAACGGAGGAAGGUGGGGAUGACGUCAAAUCAUCAUGCCCCUUAUGACCUGGGCCACACACGUAAUACAAUGGCGGUAAACAGAGGGAAGCGAAGCCGCGAGGCACAGCGAAUCCCCAAAAGCCGUCUCAGUUCGGAUUGCAGGCUGCAACCCGCCUGCAUGAAGUCGGAAUUGCUAGUAAUCGCGGAUCAGCAUGCCGCGGUGAAUACGUUCCCGGGCCUUGUACACACCGCCCGU